UUUUCGCAAUGCCCGAAAGGGUGACGAAGCGACGCCGCGUGUGGGAAGAAGGUCUUCGGGUUGUAAACCACUGUCAGGAGUUAGGAAAUGCAGGGGAGUUAAUAGCUCUUCUGUUUGACUAAGGCUCCAGAGGAAGCCACGGCUAACUCUGUGCCAGCAGCCGCGGUAAUACAGAGGCGGCAAGCGUUGUUCGGAAUUAUUGGGCGUAAAGAGCACGUAGGCGGCCUUGCAAGUCAGUUGUGAAAGCCUUCCGCUCAACGGGAGAAUUGCAUCUGAAACUACAGACCUUGAGUGUAGGAGGGGAGAAUGGAACUUCUGGUGGAGCGGUGAAAUGCGUAGAUAUCAGAAGGAACGCCGGCGGCGAAAGCGACUCUCUGGACCGAAACUGACGCUGAGGUGCGAAAGCUAGGGGAGCAAACGGGAUUAGAUACCCCGGUAGUCCUAGCCGUAAACGAUGGGCACUAAGUAGAGGGGUUUUA
RNAcentral lists this ribosomal RNA (479 nucleotides) under uncultured anaerobic ammonium-oxidizing bacterium. Its description in RNAcentral is "bacterial SSU rRNA". It matches the Rfam family "Bacterial small subunit ribosomal RNA", at positions 363 to 833 of the family's 1533-position model. The record is from RNAcentral.